Molecule: ribosomal RNA, 198 nt
Filed under: Weissella viridescens
Lineage: Bacteria; Bacillati; Bacillota; Bacilli; Lactobacillales; Lactobacillaceae
Also listed under: 1 other name
Description: partial 16S ribosomal RNA
Rfam family: Bacterial small subunit ribosomal RNA
Source: RNAcentral
UACUCCUACGGGAGGCAGCAGUAGGGAAUCUUCCACAAUGGACGAAAGUCUGAUGGAGCAACGCCGCGUGUGUGAUGAAGGGUUUCGGCUCGUAAAACACUGUUGUAAGAGAAGAAUGACAUUGAGAGUAACUGUUCAGUGUGUGACGGUAUCUUACCAGAAAGGAACGGCUAAAUACGUGCCAGCAGCCGCGGUAAU